RNA transcript from Daphnia pulicaria, 2909 nucleotides. RefSeq lists it as uncharacterized. The record is from RefSeq and is a predicted model, not a curated record. Lineage: Eukaryota; Metazoa; Arthropoda; Branchiopoda; Diplostraca; Daphniidae. The transcript is spliced from 10 exons.
UUUGCAAAGCAGACGAUGAAAGCAUUGCAGCAGUCAAUUCUUCUUUGUUUAAAAUAAUGUAGUCUAAUAAUUAUUUUUGUUGCCGUUUUUUUUUAGGAAAAUGGCAUCCAGAAAUUGCUUGAUGCGGUUGAAAACUUUUCAGCUUAGUAGUUUCAACCCACCCAACGGGAUUGCCUUUUCUAGAGGUUUUUGCGCAAGUCCCCCAGUAUUCCAGACCAAAUGGCUGCAAGCCGUUUCGCACGCCGAGAAAGUGGUAGGAAAUCAUACCUUUCUCAAUCUGGAAAGUGUGACAAGCCAUGAGAUAAGUAAUAUGGCUGUUUACUUGAAAAAUCUCAUUAAAACUGGACAUCCCCUUACAUCCACUGUCAAAGAACUCCUCAAUCCUAAGGCCAAAAAUGAUCUCACCAGAGGGUUGUUGGUUUUGCUUGUAUCCAAGGCAGGAAAACAUAGGGCAAAUGAAGACAUUCUGCCGAAUCAAAGACAACUUGCAGAGAUCACAGAACAGAUCCAUACAGCUCACAUUAUCCACUCAGGAAUUAUAAAUCUUCCCACUCCGAACGAAAAUCUAGAAAUGGGGAAUAAAAUGGCAAUUCUGUGUGGUGAUUUUAUUCAGUCCCGCUCUAGUAUCCGCUUAGCAGAAUUCAAAAACAUCAAGAUUAUAGAGUUAUUUGGCCAAGCUAUAGCAGACUUUAGUGCCGUUGAAUUUAUUGAUGGGGAGUCAUACAGUGCCCUAGAUUUGUGGUCUCAGCAAACGAGGAUGAGAUAUGGAACUUUAUUAUCAAAUGCCUUCCAGUCGACCCUGAUUCUUGGUGGCAAUAUGGAUCUCCUUGAAUCCGCAACAAAUUUCGGUCUCGAAUUUACUUUUGCUUGGCAAGCAAACAUUGACCUACAAAGCUACAAGAGCACAACGAAGAAAGCGGAGCACAUUCUGACCAAGCUGUUUCCACCAGGAACUCCCUUCGAAGAAAUCUUAUUAAUUUUUGAAGCUGUACGCGACAACCACAUCAAUGCAUCAUUGAAUAUAUUGGCAAAGUUUCCACAAAAUGAAGCUAGUCUUGCUCUAAGUGACAUCGCAAAGGCACUCAAGUACUAACCGAAUUUUAAAGAAAUAGCCGCAUCUGAUAUCGAAUUUGGAAAACAGCUGCCAUUACAAGUAAUUUUAUCCACUGUUAAAUAAUUAACAAAGAUAACUAAAGGCAACCAAAAAGGUCUUUAUUUAGCUUUCUCUAUUCUCAACCGUUAUUGCAAAUAACAGACUAUCCUUUUAUUUUCUUACAGAUGUGAACCUGUUCGAUUUUAUUUAUUACAAAUCUCAUUUCAUAUAAUUGUUUAUCGGGAUAAAUUGACAAAAAUUCUAAAUAUUUUGCUUGCUUUGAUGUUUUUUUAUCCAUCCUGUUUCACUCACAAAAGCGAAUGGUUCAAAGGAACCGCCAACGUCAAGUAAACCUACGACUGUCGUCAUCUGGUGCCAGUAAUAGGAAGUUGCUUGUUGUGUCAACAACAUCGGCAACAAUAACACCUUCGUUUGCGAAAAUAUUGGGGUCAAAAUCUAGCCCCUGCUUUCUCUGAAAAGGCUGGAUUGGACGGGAGCCAUUACUUUCACUUUCCCUGUUGAUAACAGGACUUCGCGAUAAAAUGGGGGUAAUUAAACGCUCAAAGUUCCAACACAUUUCGCCUUUGGAGACUGGACCAGUUUUGCCAGAAAGUGAUUCUGUACCUGAGUUAGCCCCACCACAAAAUGUUCCUGCUACUGAGACUCUUACCCAACAAACUCUUCAACAGCUUCGACCAAUAAGGGCUUCCAGACCUCCUUGUUUCCAUAAAAAUUCAUCAGGAAAGAAUCGCUCUAGCCGCAAGUCAGAUAAUGGACAGGAGAAAAUUCCCAAAGGGCAAAAGAAACAAAGACGUUAUCAUAACAACAAGUUCUUACUCAAUUUGGCUGAAUCUGAUGAAGACAAAAGAAUUGAACCUGGAUUUACUGAACCUCACUCAGUAUUUGCUACCUUGCUACAGGAACCUGACAAAAUGGGGGCUUGGAAUGCAUUCUUAAACCUCACUGAAGAUGAUCAGCUCGCUAUUAUUGCCAAUAAUGAAAUAUUUGCUUAUUUCAACAAUGAGCCAGUAUUAGAUCAAGUGCCACCUGCUGUCGUCGAGAAAAUUGUCAGUUAUCGUGAAAGGCGCCGAAACAUGACUGCUGAAGAGGCCUUUUGCACUUUGUGCCCUAAACUGAAAUCUAUAUUCACAAAACGUCAUUUCCCUAUGGGAAUGCUAGCUCAACUGGAGAAUGAAGUCCUUGAUUUUUUCCUGGACGCCCCGGAAGGAACGUGCAUUAUCGAGAGGCAGUGCAGUUUCGAUCGACUCCUUCUUCACGCCAUCACGCGGUUCAAUUUUCUUUGUUCACAAAGUUUCUCAACUGAAGAUAAUCGCCGGGAAACUCACAUCCGCAAUAUUUGUCCGGAUUUCAUCCCACCACCCGUUUCUCUUUCCGAAUACAUCCAAAAGAAGCGUCGCUAGUCUGUUACAAGAAAAGACUUGGGCAAUCAUCGGAAAUGAAAUUUUUCAUAGAAAAAUGACCUCUUAUUUUAAAUCUUAAGUUCAAUAUGUUCCCAGUUUAGAAAUUUCCAGCAAGAUUUUCUUCUUUUUUUUUUCUUUAGGAUAAAUUUUUUUACCCAGAGAUUUGUUUAUUUCCGUAAUUUAUGCUUUUGAUGUAGCAUGUCUUUUUUUCGGUUUGGUUUGCUGUUUUAGGAUGGGGCGGUUCACUAAGCAAGGGGAGAUGCAAUUUGGUUUUCCAUUCAUAGACAUAUAGAGAAAUUGUAGAGACAUUUUUUGUUUAAUUGUUUUCAUGGUAUUUGUAUGCAAUAAUAGGAUAAAGAAGUCUCUGUUAUCAACAAAUAGAUACUUUGAAAAUA